GGGGCUGACUGGAAUUGACAGGGAGUUUAAUUUCAUACUGGCGUGUCGAGUGGUGUGUAUAACACUCGUAAAUCUCAAUACAUAACUUUGUUUUUAAAUGGCGAGUCUAACUACGCCUUAGCUGCCUAAUUCUAGGAAUUAGUAGCUUUUACUCCCCGGUGUUGACGUCCGAUACACACACCGGCUGAGUAUCAAUUUUUCGGGUCUUUGCUCUAGAGUUGGUCUUUUCCUCUAGUGUGAAGUAUUGAUAAAGGCUAGGAAGCUUAUUGAGUGGGUUACUUUACUUUCAGGUUUCCGAAGAUUAAAAAGCAACUACACACGUAGAAGGUUUGAUAUUGGCUUGUUUGGACGAGGGUUCGAAUCCCUCCAGCUCCACUU
This 378-nucleotide transfer-messenger RNA is filed under the name Chitinophagales. RNAcentral describes it as "JAHQVX01 sp019634125 Standard tmRNA". It matches the Rfam family "transfer-messenger RNA". From Rfam's summary of the family: Bacterial tmRNA, also known as 10Sa RNA or SsrA, is named for its dual tRNA and mRNA-like properties. Its role is to liberate the mRNA from a stalled ribosome. RNAcentral also lists the same sequence under 1 other name. The record is from RNAcentral. Lineage: Bacteria; Pseudomonadati; Bacteroidota; Chitinophagia.